CCUACGGGCGGCUGCAGUGAGGAAUAUUGGUCAAUGGGCGCGAGCCUGAACCAGCCAAGUAGCGUGAAGGAUGACUGCCCUACGGGUUGUAAACUUCUUUUAUAAAGGAAUAAAGUGAGGCACGUGUGCCUUUUUGUAUGUACUUUAUGCAUAAGGAUCGGCUAACUCCGUGACAGCAGCCGCGGUAAUACGGAGGAUCCGAGCGUUAUCCGGAUUUAUUGGGUUUAAGGGGAACGUAGAUGGGUUGUUAAGUCAGUUGUGAAAGUUUGGGGCUCAACCUGAAAAUUGCAAUUGAUACUGGCAGCCUUGAGUACAGUUGAGGUAGGCGGAAUUCGUGGUGUAGCGGUGAAAUGCUUAGAUAUCACGAAGAACUCCGAUUGCGAAGGCAGCCUACUAAACUGCCACUGACAUUGAUGCUCGAAAGUGUGGGUAUCAAACAGGAUUAGAUACCCUGGUAGUC
This 460-nucleotide ribosomal RNA is filed under the name uncultured bacterium. Its description in RNAcentral is "partial 16S ribosomal RNA". It matches the Rfam family "Bacterial small subunit ribosomal RNA", at positions 338 to 795 of the family's 1533-position model. The record is from RNAcentral.